This 1571-nucleotide long non-coding RNA is filed under the name Vigna radiata. Its description in RNAcentral is "long non-coding RNA (VRAD_LNC004221)". The record is from RNAcentral. Lineage: Eukaryota; Viridiplantae; Streptophyta; Magnoliopsida; Fabales; Fabaceae.
CAGAAAACAUAAACUAGUCAAAGAAAUUCAUAAUCUCCCCCAAUAGACCACACUUAAACUACACAGUGUCUUCAAUGUGUCACAAGCAUAAGAUCACAAUCAUAACAAUCAACAGAUCAUGGACAAGUGCAAUAAAAGUAGGUAAAGGGGGAGAGAAGGGAAAAGGAAACUCCCCUGAUCAUGGUGGCAGUUGCCAAUUUUGGACUUUCAGGGAGAUGUCUUCCACCCCAGGAUUCAAAAAGGAGGUGUUGAGGAAGAACUGCUUCAUCCUCCAGAUUUGAUCAAGUAGGGAGAUGUCCUCCACAGCUGGAUCCAAGAAGAAGUGAUUGUUGAUGAGCAGGUUCAGCUGGUGCCUAUUAAUCUUCAAACUGUCGGCACCUUUGUCUUCCACCAUGGGUGUUUGUUGAUCAAACUCGUGUGUACCUCCUGCAACAUGGUUAGUGCAAUGUGGUUCCAAAGAAAUAAUAUGCAGAGGUAUAACACCCAAUCCCAGUGUAAGAGGCUGAACCUCAGAUAAACUCUCAGAACAUGAAUCACUUUCAAAUUCAGAAGCAAUAUCAACAACAGAAUUAGAUUCAUGUUCAGUGCAUGGAGAAUAAACAUUCAGACAAGAUGUUGAGUGGUGGAAGGUGAAGCUGGUCUACCUAUCUCAAAAGUGGUACUCAUGUCAACCUGGUCCUCAAAUUCUUGAUCAGUCUCCUCAGGUGCAAGACUGGGGACAUAGGAGUGUGGGAAAGUAGGUGGCACAACACUAAGCUCAUGACUCUGCUCCUCAUCUCCUAUGUGGAUGGCAUCAACAUCGUCUGAAAGUUGAACAGUCUGAAAUGGUGAUUCCUUUGAAACAUAAGACUAUUCCUCAGUGAGUUGAGUGGCCAUCUGCCCCAUCUGAUCAGUCAAACUCUAAAAGGAAGCUUUGGUCUCCUGCUGAAACUCCAUGCUCACUUGCUGGAACUGAAUGUUCAGAAUAGUCAUCUGCUCCAAUAACUCCUUCAAUGUAGGCUCAGAAGUAGUGGAAGGAUGAGGAGUUGCUUGUGCAGGCUCAUGAAACUGCAACUACUAUGGUUCCUGGACAGGGGAAGGCAUACAAGCAUUCUGGAAUGGUGGUUCUUAAUAUUGAUGUUGUGAAGGGCGGAAUCUUUCCAAAAACAGUUGCUUAAGAUCUUCCCAAUUGGUGAUGGAUCCACAAGGAAGACAAAACCGCCAAUACCUUGCCGCUCCAACUAACGAGUAUUUAAAUGCCCUUAAGAACAUGUCCUCAUCCGAGACAUCUGGAGGUUUCAUUGAAGAGCAUAUGGUGUAGAACUCCUCCAAAUGUCUAUAUGGGCAUUCACCUGCAAAACCAUGAAACCUAGACAGCAAAUAUAUCAGUCCAGUGUUGAAAACACAACGAAUAUCCUCCUUAUCAAUUGGAAACGGCUCCCUAGGAGAACUCUCAUGAGAUGGAGGAGGAACCGUUCUGUUCUCAACAUAGAAAUCAGUAGAGUAUAUAUGAGAAGCAAUAUCAGAGUAACAAGCAGGAGGAGAAUCAUAGACACAAGCAGAAUGAGAAUUACUCACAUAGCCAAAAUAGG